AUACGUAGGGAGCGAGCGUUGUCCGGAAUUACUGGGUGUAAAGGGUGCGUAGGCGGGACUGCAAGUCAGAUGUGAAAUGCCGGGGCUCAACCCCGGAGCUGCAUUUGAAACUGUGGUUCUUGAGUGAGGUAGAGGUAAGUGGAAUUCCUAGUGUAGCGGUGAAAUGCGUAGAUAUUAGGAGGAACAUCGGUGGCGAAGGCGGCUUACUGGGCCUUUACUGACGCUGAGGCACGAAAGCGUGGGGAGCAAACAGGAUUAGAUACCCUGGUAGUCCACGCUGUAAACGAUGAUGACUAGGUGUGGGGGGACUGAACCCUUCCGUGCCGCAGUUAACACAAUAAGUCAUCCACCUGGGGAGUACGGCCGCAAGGUUGAAACUCAAAUGAAUCGGCGGGG
RNAcentral lists this ribosomal RNA (396 nucleotides) under uncultured bacterium. RNAcentral describes it as "partial 16S ribosomal RNA". It matches the Rfam family "Bacterial small subunit ribosomal RNA", at positions 523 to 918 of the family's 1533-position model. The record is from RNAcentral.